GCCGGGCGCGGUGGCUCACGCCUGUAAUCCCAGCACUUUGGGAGGCUGAGGUGGGCGGAUCACCAGAGGUCAGGAGUGCAAGACCAGCCUGACCAACAUGGAGAAACCUUAUCUCUU
Callithrix jacchus (white-tufted-ear marmoset) is the source of this 117-nucleotide unclassified non-coding RNA. It matches the Rfam family "Metazoan signal recognition particle RNA". Rfam says of the family: The signal recognition particle (SRP) is a universally conserved ribonucleoprotein. It is involved in the co-translational targeting of proteins to membranes. The record is from Ensembl. NCBI's taxonomy places the organism in Eukaryota, Metazoa, Chordata, Mammalia, Primates, Cebidae.